Long non-coding RNA from Drosophila rhopaloa, 762 nucleotides. RefSeq lists it as uncharacterized. NCBI's taxonomy places the organism in Eukaryota, Metazoa, Arthropoda, Insecta, Diptera, Drosophilidae. The transcript has 2 exons. The record is from RefSeq and is a predicted model, not a curated record.
AUUUAACAAACUGAGUACAAAAUGUUGUCUUUUUGAGAUUUUUGAAGAAUGUUAUUUAACAAAAACACAAAAAAAACAUUAAUAUUCCAAGAUAUUCGAAAAUGUGCCUAAUGUGGAUGCUGUGGGUCCACUUGGAACGAGCUGCCUGUUUCUCCAAGUGCUGCGCUCAGUGUGUGAAGUAGUGUAGGUAAAUCAGUUUGGGGAGCCGGCGUCGAAACGGGUUUGCUUCUCGUUUGUGCUACACCUUUUGCGCCUGUUCCUUGUUCCGAUCCGAUCCGUUUCGAACCGAUCCCCAUUCGAGAACGUGUUUCAAGGCUUUUCGACCGGGGUGUGUAACCAGUAGCAGAAGUGGAAAGCCGAAAACCGAAAAGCGAGGAAGGGAGCGGGAGUGGGAAAAGGAGGUCGGUCGCCAAAUGAAAAGAUCGCGGCCAGACAAAAGAAACUGGCAUAAGGGAUUUGGAUAGGGAUUGGCCCGAUAGCGGGUCUGGAGAAAGAGACGGCGGAAGGAAGAGAAAGAGCGCGAGCGUGUGGAAUAGGUCCCACCCCAAUCUAAUUGGAAAUAACGGCAGGAGCAAGACGAUCGCUUCUGCGCACGCGAUCGCACGCGAGAGACCGGCUAAUGCAUAUAAAUUGGCAUAAAUCAAGCAAAAGUCACGUCGAUCCGUGUCCGAAACCCAAAAGCCAAAAGCUAAAAGCCAAACCAGUUUCGAAAAUAGAGUAAUACAGAGAAUAAAUUCCAGAUCAGAUCAUCGCAGUGACGUA